Molecule: transfer RNA, 85 nt
Filed under: Puccinia graminis f. sp. tritici
Lineage: Eukaryota; Fungi; Basidiomycota; Pucciniomycetes; Pucciniales; Pucciniaceae
Also listed under: 1 other name
Description: tRNA-Gln
Rfam family: tRNA
About the family: Transfer RNA (tRNA) molecules are approximately 80 nucleotides in length.
Source: RNAcentral
GGGUCUGUAGCCUAGUUGGUAAAGGAAGCACUCUGUAUGUGACUCAGCAUUGCUGAGGUUGUGAGUUCAAAUCUCACCAGGCACA